GCGGGGCAACCUGGCGGCGAGUGGCGAACGGGUGAGUAAUAUAUCGGAACGUACCCAAGAGUGGGGGAUAACGUAGCGAAAGUUACGCUAAUACCGCAUACGAUCUAAGGAUGAAAGCAGGGGAUCUUCGGACCUUGUGCUCCUGGAGCGGCCGAUAUCUGAUUAGCUAGUUGGUGAGGUAAAGGCUCACCAAGGCCACGAUCAGUAGCUGGUCUGAGAGGACGACCAGCCACACUGGAACUGAGACACGGUCCAGACUCCUACGGGAGGCAGCAGUGGGGAAUUUUGGACAAUGGGCGAAAGCCUGAUCCAGCAAUGCCGCGUGAGUGAAGAAGGCCUUCGGGUUGUAAAGCUCUUUUGUCAGGGAAGAAACGGUGAGGGCUAAUAUCCUUCGCUAAUGACGGUACCUGAAGAAUAAGCACCGGCUAACUACGUGCCAGCAGCCGCGGUAAUACGUAGGGUGCAAGCGUUAAUCGGAAUUACUGGGCGUAAAGCGUGCGCAGGCGGUUUUGUAAGUCUGACGUGAAAUCCCCGGGCUCAACCUGGGAAUUGCGUUGGAGACUGCAAGGCUAGAAUCUGGCAGAGGGGGGUAGAAUUCCACGUGUAGCAGUGAAAUGCGUAGAGAUGUGGAGGAACACCGAUGGCGAAGGCAGCCCCCUGGGUCAAGAUUGACGCUCAUGCACGAAAGCGUGGGGAGCAAACAGGAUUAGAUACCCUGGUAGUCCACGCCCUAAACGAUGUCUACUAGUUGUCGGGUUUUAAUUAACUUGGUAACGCAGCUAACGCGUGAAGUAGACCGCCUGGGGAGUACGGUCGCAAGAUUAAAACUCAAAGGAAUUGACGGGGAC
This 848-nucleotide ribosomal RNA is filed under the name Massilia sp. PDD-35b-33. RNAcentral describes it as "bacterial SSU rRNA". It matches the Rfam family "Bacterial small subunit ribosomal RNA", at positions 74 to 920 of the family's 1533-position model. Lineage: Bacteria; Pseudomonadati; Pseudomonadota; Betaproteobacteria; Burkholderiales; Oxalobacteraceae. The record is from RNAcentral.